Long non-coding RNA from Balaenoptera musculus (blue whale), 699 nucleotides. RefSeq lists it as uncharacterized. The record is from RefSeq and is a predicted model, not a curated record. The transcript has 4 exons. Lineage: Eukaryota; Metazoa; Chordata; Mammalia; Artiodactyla; Balaenopteridae.
CUGCUUAUUUCGAUAGAUAAAAUGAAAAUGUGGUCAGAGAGAAUUUGUGGUAGAACCUGAGCAUGCCGAGUUGCCAGGAAUUUGCAAAAGCCUUUAAUAUACAAUAAUUUACAUUGCGAUAGAAAAACAUUAUACAGUUACUGAUAUACCAACUUAUGUUAGCCAGGGGGAAAAAGUUUACACACCUGGUUGAAUGUGUUUGCCAAUUAUAUUUAUUCAGUUUCCUGUUACAAAACCAGAACAUGGCUUGGAAAAUCCUAAUUGUUUACCUGUGACAUUAUUUCCAUGAAGAGUAAUCAUCCCAGAAACUAUUAGAGGGCCUUGGAAUAUAUUCAUCUGACCUAUUCUACCUAUCUCAUUUAAAGGACAGCAUCUGAAGAUUUAAUAACAAAAAGCAGUUGAAGCAUUCCAAGCUGUAUAAUCAGGUUGAUUUUGAUGAUGAAAAUCGUCCAACUUUUGCUAAUCAAGUUAGGGGCAUAUAUAAUGUCUUCACAAUUAUUGCAUUUCCAGAUUAAUGGACAGCAGAUUUCCAGUUUUUUAAUUAUGAUGUGCUGACACCUGGGAAAGACACUGUACGACAACGCAAGUGGCCCUUUCUUUUUUCUUUCAAAGCUACUCAAGGAACGUACAGAAGGCCCCAGCCAAUUAAACUUCCUUCCUAAGGGUGUGACUGUGACUGCCGUAGUGUGGUUAUACUGC